AGCGAACGUUAGCGGCGGGCCUAACACAUGCAAGUCGAACGGGCUGUAGCAAUACAGUCAGUGGCGCACGGGUGCGUAACGCGUAGAUAAUCUACCUCUCAGUGGGGGAUAACUAGGGGAAACUCUAGCUAAUACCGCAUAAGACCACGGAGUCUUCGGGCUUUGAGGGAAAAGGCGGCCUCUGAAUAUGCUGUCGCUGGGAGAUGAGUCUGCGUCCCAUCAGCUAGUUGGUGAGGUAAUGGCUCACCAAGGCAAAGACGGGUAGCUGGUCUGAGAGGAUGAUCAGCCACACUGGCACUGGAACACGGGCCAGACUCCUACGGGAGGCAGCAGUGGGGAAUAUUGGGCAAUGGGCGGAAGCCUGACCCAGCCACGCCGCGUGAGUGAUGAAGGCCUCGGUUGUAA
Molecule: ribosomal RNA, 405 nt
Filed under: uncultured bacterium
Lineage: Bacteria
Description: bacterial SSU rRNA
Rfam family: Bacterial small subunit ribosomal RNA
Source: RNAcentral